CCUACGGGGGGCAGCAGUGGGGAAUAUUGGACAAUGGGGGCAACCCUGAUCCAGCCAUGCCGCGUGUGUGAAGAAGGCCCUCGGGUUGUAAAGCACUUUCAGUGAGGAAGAACGCCUGGUGGUUAAUACCCAUCAGGAAAGACAUCACUCACAGAAGAAGCACCGACUAACUCCGUGCCAGCAGCCGCGGUAAUACGGAGGGUGCGAGCGUUAAUCGGAAUUACUGGGCGUAAAGCGCGCGUAGGUGGCUUGAUAAGCCGGUUGUGAAAGCCCCGGGCUCAACCUGGGAACGGCAUCCGGAACUGUCAAGCUAGAGUGCAGGAGAGGAAGGUAGAAUUCCCGGUGUAGCGGUGAAAUGCGUAGAGAUCGGGAGGAAUACCAGUGGCGAAGGCGGCCUUCUGGACUGACACUGACACUGAGGUGCGAAAGCGUGGGUAGCAAACAGGAUUAGAUACCCGGGUAGUC
This 465-nucleotide ribosomal RNA is filed under the name Vreelandella stevensii. RNAcentral's name for it is "partial 16S ribosomal RNA". It matches the Rfam family "Bacterial small subunit ribosomal RNA", at positions 338 to 795 of the family's 1533-position model. Lineage: Bacteria; Pseudomonadati; Pseudomonadota; Gammaproteobacteria; Oceanospirillales; Halomonadaceae. The record is from RNAcentral.